This 3775-nucleotide long non-coding RNA is filed under the name Salmo salar (Atlantic salmon). Its description in RNAcentral is "lncRNA (ENSSSAG00000117283.1)". Lineage: Eukaryota; Metazoa; Chordata; Actinopteri; Salmoniformes; Salmonidae. The record is from RNAcentral.
AAUUAUAGACUGAUCCUUUCUUUGUCAGUGGGCAAACAUACAAAAUCAGCAGGGGAUCAAAUACUCUUUUCCCCCACUGUACAUUGUUUAUGAGGAUUGCCUGCUGCAGAGAUGUCAAGUUUGAAGCUGCACAUGCAACAUAGAGAAGACCAGCAAGGGGACCCUCAGCAUCAUGCAGACAUGCCCUAGCUCAUCUCUGAUGAGGGGCCAGGAGCUGAUCUACGCUGCCAUGCCCAUCAAUGGGGUGCUGACAAAAACCUUACCUCCAGCCUCACCUCUUGCCAUCUCACCAAUGGUUGUCGAUGGGGAGACCAUAAUUGAUAGGUUUAGUCUGACCUGUUCAAACUUUAACAUAGUAUACAGUCGUGGCCAAAAGUUUUGAGAAUGACACAGAUAUUAAUUUUCACAAAGUUUGCUGCUUCAGUGUCUUUAGAUAUUUUUGUCAGAUGUUACUAUGGAAUACUGAAGUAUAAUUACAAGCAUUUCAUAAGUGUCAAAGGCUUUUAUUGACAAUUACAUGAAGUUGAUGCAAAGAGUCAAUAUUUGCAGUGUUGACCCUUUCUCUGCAAUCUGCCAUGGCAUGCUGUCAAUUAACUUCUGGCCCACAUCCUGACUGAUGGCAGCCCAUUCUUGCAUAAUCAAUGCUUGGAGUUUGUCAGAAUUUGUGGGUUUUUGUUUGUCCACCCGCCUCUUGAGGAUUGACCACAAGUUCUCAAUGGGAUUAAGGUCUGGGGAGUUUCCUGGCCAUGGACCCAAAAUAUCCAUGUUUUGUUUCCCGAGCCACUUAGCUAUCACUUUUGCCUCAUGGCAAGGUCCUCCAUCAUGCUGGAAAGGCAUUGUUCGUCACCAAACUAUUCCUGGAAGGUUGGGAGAAGUUGCUCUCGGAGGAUGUGUUGGUAUCAUUCUUUAUUUAUGGCUGUGUUCUUAGGCAAAAUUGUGAGUGAGCCCACUCCCUUGGCUGAGAAGCAACCCCACACAUGAAUGGUCUCAGGAUGCUUUACUGUUGGCAUGACACAGGACUGAUGGUAGCGCUCACCUUGUCUUCUCCGGACAAGCUUUUUUCCUGAUGCCCCAAACAAUCAGAAAGGGGAUUCAUCAGAGAAAAUGACUUUACCCCAGUCCUCAGCAGUCCAAUCCCUGUACCUUUUGCAGAAUAUCAGUCUGUCCCUAAUGUUUUUCCUGGAGAGAAGUGGCUUCUUUGCUGCCCUUCUUGACACCAGGCCAUCCUCCAAAAGUCUUUGCCUCACUGUGCGUGCAGAUGCACUCACACCUGCCUGCUGCCAUUCCUGAGCAAGCUCUGUACUGGUGGUGCCCCGAUCCCGCAGCUGAAACAACUUUAGGAGACGGUCCUGGCGCUUGCUGGACUUUCUUAGGCGCCCUGAAGCCUUCUUCACAACAAUUGAAACGCUCUCCUUGAAGUUCUUGAUGAUCCGAUAAAUGGUUGAUUUAGGUGCAAUCUUACUGGCAGCAAUAUUCUUGCCUGUGAAGCCCUUUUUGUGCAAAGCAAUGAUGACGGCACGUGAUUCCAUGCAGGUAACUAUGAUUGACAGAGGAAGAACAAUGAUUCCAAGCACCACCCUCCUUUUGAAGCUUCCAGUCUGUUAUUCGAACUCAAUCAGCAUGACAGAGUGAUCUCCAGCCCUGUCCUCAUCAACACUCCCACCUGUGUUAACGAGAGAAUCACUGACAUGAUGUCAGCUGGUCCUUUUGUGGCUUUACUGAAAUGCAGUGGAAUUUUUUGGGGGGGGAUUCAGUUCAUUUGCAUGGCAAAGAGGGACUUGCAAUUAAUUGCAAUUCAUCUGAUGACUCUUCAUAACAUUCUGGAGUAUAUGCAAAUUGCCAUUAUACAAACUGAGGCAGCAGACUUUGUGAAAAUUAAUAUUUGUGUCAUUCUCAAAACUUUUGGCCACGACUGCACACUUAGUGGUCAGUUUAACUUGUUCACAAAAAUGGAUUGCUCCUACUGACAGUGAGUCACUGGGCAGUGGCUUGCUAUAUAAAGCAGGCCGACAGGCAUCGAGGCAUUCAGUUACUGUUCGAUUGAAUGUUAGGAAUGGGCUAAACGAAUGGCCUAAGCGACUUCAAGCACGGUAUGAUAGUUAGUGCCAGGAGUGCCAGAUCCAGUGUCUCAGAAACGGCCUCCCUCCUAGGCUUUUCACACACAACAGUGUCGUGUUUACUGAGAAUGGUGUGACAAACAAAAAACAUCCAGUCAGCGGCAGUCCUGUGGGCGGCGGAAGGAGAUUUGCAAGAGAGGUCAAAGGAGAAUGGCAAGAAUCUUGCAAUCUAACCGGCGGGCCACAAACGGACAAAUAACGGCACAGUACAACAGUGGUGUGCAGAAUGGCAUCUUGGAACACACAACUCGUCGAUCCUUGUUACGGAUGGGCUAUUGCAGCAGAGGAUCACACAGGGUUCCACUCCUAUCUUCUAAAAACAAGAAGAAGCGACUCCUGUGGGCACACAAUCACCAACACUGAACAAUUGAGGAGUGGGAAAACAUUGCCUGGAACAUGACAGUGAGUUCAGUUUACUUGAGUGUCCUGCGCAGUCCCCAGACCUUAAUCCAGUAGAGCAUCUUUGGGAUGAGAUGGAACGGGCUGUUCGCAGCAUGAACGUACCCCCGUCCAAUCUGCAGAAAAUGUGUGAUGCCAUCGCGUUAGUAUGGACCAACAUCCCUUUGGAAUAUUUCCGACACCUUGUAGAAUGCCCCAAAGAAUUCAGGCUGUUCUGGAGUCAAUGGGGGGUCUGACCCAGUACUACUUAGAUGGGUGUACCUAAUAAAUUGUCAGAUAUCAAGAGGAUCUAUGGACCCAGCACUUGGAGACUUGCAAGAUGAUGUGAUAGAGUCCUGACUGACAGACAGGCUUGAUACUGAUGUCGCUGAAUGGAUGGAGACCUGGCACUCAGCAUUAACAUUUUACUAGACAACUUUACUUGUAUUGUCUUUUUUUAUUAUUUAAUUGAAUCGUAUGAGUCAUUAUGGGGAGAGAGAACUUGUGUGUAUUCUACACCAGGAUCAGGAAAUUCCUGUUGUAUACAGGACACAACACAGGAAGUUAUGACCGCUCUGACAUGUUUGCCAAGGUAGCCCUAUUACCACCAGACAAAAUGCCUAAGAAUGACAAUGAAGGUGCACAUUGUUAUAUUAGCAGAACACUGCUUCUAUGGUAUUAUGUAAAUGAUUGUUUAUUGUACAUGGACCUGUUGUUACAUUUGAAACACUUAGUUUCAAAUAUCUACAUAAAUUCAGCAAUUGCAUUUGUCUCAUAUUACACUGUAGGCUACUGACCUAUUCAACGCUUCACCAGGCAUCUCACCAUACUUUCAUAGUUAUUGAACUCAACCUGCAGGCGGUUUGUUUGUUGUGAUUGAGUGGGGGAAACAGCUGCAGGCAAGGUUUUGACAGAUGGGUGUGGCAAGGACACACCCAAGAAACACCCACAUCAAAUCACACCCCCAAGCCAACCCACAUUUGGCUUCUGUCAUGGCCUCCAGCAUUUCUUGCGGAGCAAGCCAAAAAACGAGGCCAAAUCAGCGGGUGCAGUUCCCCUUUAACUACAACAAUGAAUAUAAUUAAACACAAAGCUAAUUUCAAUCAAAGAUGUUGCAACUGCAGCUUCCUAUUUCAUGUGUAUAAAGUAGGGCCAAAUUCACUCUUUGUUUUAAGUGAGAUGUGAGAAAUUGGUGUGUGUUGAUUCCUGGAACAGAGUGCUUUUGGUCCUACAUUUAAAAGCAGUCCCAUUCCUUAUUUUGCUUAUAUCAAAUAGUGAAU